AUAGGGAUUUUUGUUCCUUAAAGUUCAUUCUUUUGUUGUAUAAGAAUUUGGGGUUGUGUGGGAUUUCCCUUUUUUUUAUUUUGGGUAUUUGCUGAUUUUCCAAUCUGGGGUUUUGUUUGUUUUAGUGGUGGUUUGAUAUAGGUUUUUUUGUUGUUAGAGAAAACUUCAGUAUAGUAGUUGUGUUUGUAAAGAUUUAGUCUUUUUGUUCAAGUUGUUGUUCUGGUUUGUUAGUAUUGAAGUUUGUCAUUAGCAAUUGUUGUCUCCCAAAGAGAAGGAAUUGUGAGAUAGAAGAUAUUGUUUGGUGUUAUAUUGGCUGUCGAUGGAGAAUCAUCAUCCUUCGACUCGUUUGUCCAUGGAUUCGAGUGCAUCUUCUUCACAUGAUGAGUUAGACCUUGAGAUGAAUAGACAAGUAGUCAUAACAUGUCCACCUGAUAUUAAUUUGCCUUUAUCAGCUGAGCGUAGCCCUCCUUCGCAGCCAUGGAACUCGGAACAUUGUGAUAUUCUUGAUGUCGGGCUUGGUACACAGGUUUAUGAGACUGAAAGUUCUAUUAGUGCGUCUAAAGUUGGAAGGAAAUGUGCGAAACGUUUGGAUAGUAUUUGGGGUGCUUGGGUUUUCUUUAGCUUUUAUUUUAGGCCUGUGUUAAAUGAGAAAUCGAAGGCAAAGAUGGUAAGGGAUAGUAAUGGAUAUUCCGGGUUUGAUAAAUCUGAUCUCCAGCUUGAUCUAUUCAUGGUUCAACAUGACAUGGAGAACCUGUAUAUGUGGAUUUUCAAGGAAA
This 776-nucleotide unclassified non-coding RNA is filed under the name Hevea brasiliensis (rubber tree). The record is from RNAcentral. Lineage: Eukaryota; Viridiplantae; Streptophyta; Magnoliopsida; Malpighiales; Euphorbiaceae.